This 67-nucleotide transfer RNA is filed under the name Therea petiveriana. Its description in RNAcentral is "tRNA-Pro". RNAcentral also lists the same sequence under 1 other name. The record is from RNAcentral. Lineage: Eukaryota; Metazoa; Arthropoda; Insecta; Blattodea; Corydiidae.
CAGAGUGUAGUUUAUGAGAAUAUUAAUUUUGGGGAUUAAUGGAGAAUAGUUGUUUAUUCUUCUCUGA